GAUUGAACGCUGGCGGCAGGCCUAACACAUGCAAGUCGAGCGGUAGCACAGAGAGCUUGCUCUCGGGUGACGAGCGGCGGACGGGUGAGUAAUGUCUGGGAAACUGCCUGAUGGAGGGGGAUAACUACUGGAAACGGUAGCUAAUACCGCAUAAUGUCGCAAGACCAAAGUGGGGGACCUUCGGGCCUCAUGCCAUCAGAUGUGCCCAGAUGGGAUUAGCUAGUAGGUGGGGUAACGGCUCACCUAGGCGACGAUCCCUAGCUGGUCUGAGAGGAUGACCAGCCACACUGGAACUGAGACACGGUCCAGACUCCUACGGGAGGCAGCAGUGGGGAAUAUUGCACAAUGGGCGCAAGCCUGAUGCAGCCAUGCCGCGUGUGUGAAGAAGGCCUUCGGGUUGUAAAGCACUUUCAGCGGGGAGGAAGGCGGUGAGGUUAAUAACCUCAUCGAUUGACGUUACCCGCAGAAGAAGCACCGGCUAACUCCGUGCCAGCAGCCGCGGUAAUACGGAGGGUGCAAGCGUUAAUCGGAAUUACUGGGCGUAAAGCGCACGCAGGCGGUCUGUCAAGUCGGAUGUGAAAUCCCCGGGCUUAACCUGGGAACUGCAUUCGAAACUGGCAGGCUAGAGUCUUGUAGAGGGGGGUAGAAUUCCAGGUGUAGCGGUGAAAUGCGUAGAGAUCUGGAGGAAUACCGGUGGCGAAGGCGGCCCCCUGGACAAAGACUGACGCUCAGGUGCGAAAGCGUGGGGAGCAAACAGGAUUAGAUACCCUGGUAGUCCACGCCGUAAACGAUGUCGAUUUGGAGGUUGUGCCCUUGAGGCGUGGCUUCCGGAGCUAACGCGUUAAAUCGACCGCCUGGGGAGUACGGCCGCAAGGUUAAAACUCAAAUGAAUUGACGGGGGCCCGCACAAGCGGUGGAGCAUGUGGUUUAAUUCGAUGCAACGCGAAGAACCUUACCUGGUCUUGACAUCCACAGAACUUUCCAGAGAUGGAUUGGUGCCUUCGGGAACUGUGAGACAGGUGCUGCAUGGCUGUCGUCAGCUCGUGUUGUGAAAUGUUGGGUUAAGUCCCGCAACGAGCGCAACCCUUAUCCUUUGUUGCCAGCGGUCCGGCCGGGAACUCAAAGGAGACUGCCAGUGAUAAACUGGAGGAAGGUGGGGAUGACGUCAAGUCAUCAUGGCCCUUACGACCAGGGCUACACACGUGCUACAAUGGCAUAUACAAAGAGAAGCGACCUCGCGAGAGCAAGCGGACCUCAUAAAGUAUGUCGUAGUCCGGAUUGGAGUCUGCAACUCGACUCCAUGAAGUCGGAAUCGCUAGUAAUCGUAGAUCAGAAUGCUACGGUGAAUACGUUCCCGGGCCUUGUACACACCGCCCGUCACACCAUGGGAGUGGGUUGCAAAAGAAGUAGGUAGCUUAACCUNUCGGGAGGGCGCUUACCACUUUGUGAUUCAUGACUGGGGUGAAGUCGUAACAAGG
Molecule: ribosomal RNA, 1478 nt
Filed under: uncultured bacterium
Lineage: Bacteria
Description: bacterial SSU rRNA
Rfam family: Bacterial small subunit ribosomal RNA
Source: RNAcentral